This is a long non-coding RNA of Manis pentadactyla (Chinese pangolin), 868 nucleotides long. RefSeq lists it as uncharacterized. The transcript is spliced from 3 exons. NCBI's taxonomy places the organism in Eukaryota, Metazoa, Chordata, Mammalia, Pholidota, Manidae. The record is from RefSeq and is a predicted model, not a curated record.
UCUGAUGACUUACCAGAACCUCUUCUCGUAACUGUCCCAGAGGCGCAGGGAGCUGGUUGAGGGCUUUGUCCAUGCCGACCUAAAGGCAAAAUCAUGUUGCCACAAGCACAUCACAGCAAGGGGUUCCCUUCAUCUUGGAUGCAUUCGUCUGUGCAGAGAAAACUGCUACCUAGAUGGGUCCUGCUGCAUAUGGCAGGUCAAUCACUACCACCCCAGCCAGUCAGAGCGAGUCUGCAUGCAGCAAGUGGGUCUCUGCCUCUGGGCCUCCAUGCCUACACAGCCAUCCCACACAGCCAUCCUCUGGGGCUCUGACCUCAGCGCUGCCACCACUCCAGCCUCUGCUCUGCUCUCCUGCAGCCUCGCCGUCGCCGCCGUGUCACCGUGUCACCCAGAGCACUGGGUGGAGCUCUUUCUAUAGAGUCAAUAGCAACAUAUUGCCCACAUGAGUGGUGAGCUAGCCGACUAGGCCCAGGUGAGAAUCCUGGCCACAGGAACUUUCAUUUUAUCCACACUUAACACAGUCUUUAGCGAACAUACAAUAACUCAGCCCACCUUGGAGGCAGGGAGGGCAGUCUUAACUGAUAUGCUCCCCAACCAGGAAGCUGCUCUCCUGGUGGGAAUCCAUCAGAGCAGGGCGUUUCUUGUGUUAAGCUAAUUUUGCAUAAUGACCGGGAGGGCUGAUAAGAAACUUCGUGUCUCAUCUUGAGACCACUUCACAGGUCCACACCCCUAGCCCUUUGUCACAUUCCUGAAAAUUCCUUCCAAGGGGGAGCCCCCACCCUUUCGGUGCGCCUCCCUCUCUGAGGUAGCCCACACUCCCCUCUCUCUGAGUGUGCACUUUCUCUCUGUAAAUAAAACUUUUACAUGU